CAAUAGCGUAUAUUUAAGUUGUUGCAGUUAAAAAGCUCGUAGUUGGAUUUCGGGUGGGCUGCGCCGGUCUCCUAACGGUUGUACUGGCGACGCCCGCCUUGCUGCCGGGGACGGGCUCCCGCCUUCACUGUCGGGACCCGGAAUCGGCGACGUUACUUUGAGUAAAUUAGAGUGUUCAAAGCAAGCCGCCGCUCUGAAUAUAAUAGCAUGGGAUAACACGACAGGACUCUGGCCUAUCGUGUUGGUCUGUAGGACCAGAGUAAUGAUUAAGAGGGACAGUCGGGGGCAUUCGUAUUCCGUUGUCAGAGGUGAAAUUCUUGGAUUUACGGAAGACGAACAUCUGCGAAAGCAUUUGCCAAGGAUGUUUUCAUUGAUCAAGAACGAAAGUUGGGGGCU
RNAcentral lists this ribosomal RNA (396 nucleotides) under Pseudendoclonium sp. ASV_138. Its description in RNAcentral is "SSU rRNA". It matches the Rfam family "Eukaryotic small subunit ribosomal RNA", at positions 592 to 998 of the family's 1831-position model. Lineage: Eukaryota; Viridiplantae; Chlorophyta; Ulvophyceae; Ulvales; Kornmanniaceae. The record is from RNAcentral.